This 501-nucleotide ribosomal RNA is filed under the name uncultured Glomus. RNAcentral describes it as "SSU rRNA". It matches the Rfam family "Eukaryotic small subunit ribosomal RNA", at positions 569 to 1074 of the family's 1831-position model. Lineage: Eukaryota; Fungi; Glomeromycota; Glomeromycetes; Glomerales; Glomeraceae. The record is from RNAcentral.
AGCAGCCGCGGUAAUUCCAGCUCCAAUAGCGUAUAUUAAAGUUGUUGCAGUUAAAAAGCUCGUAGUUGAAUUUCGGAAUCAGUACGCUGGUCGUGCCUUCGGUAUGUACUGGUGUCACUGGUUUCUCCCUUCUGAAGAACCAUCAUGCCAUUCACUUGGUGUGGUGGGAAAUCAGGACUGUUACUUUGAAAAAUUAGAGUGUUUAAAGCAGGCUCGCGCUUGAAUACAUUAGCAUGGAAUAAUGAAAUAGGACGUUAAUCCUAUUUUGUUGGUUUCUAGGAUCGACGUAAUGAUUAAUAGGGAUAGUUGGGGGCAUUAGUAUUCAAUUGUCAGAGGUGAAAUUCUUGGAUUUAUUGAAGACUAACUACUGCGAAAGCAUUUGCCAAGGAUGUUUUCAUUAAUCAAGAACGAAAGUUAGGGGAUCGAAGACGAUCAGAUACCGUCGUAGUCUUAACCAUAAACUAUGCCGACUAGGGAUCGGAUGAUGUUAAUUUUUAAUGA